Molecule: long non-coding RNA, 400 nt
Organism: Dermacentor albipictus
Lineage: Eukaryota; Metazoa; Arthropoda; Arachnida; Ixodida; Ixodidae
Source: RefSeq, a predicted model, not a curated record
CUCGGCUUUCUAAUUCGCACUGCGAAGGAGCACGAGUUCAACUCUUAAGUAACGGGCACAAUUUUGUUUUUCGUUGCCAUGUAGCAAGGGUGAAGCUGAGAAUUGGGAUGUGACCUGACAACGGUAAUGGCAAAACAAAAUGGAAGGGUUGGAGAAAGCACAGCUACUAUGGAACUUAGAUAAACUGGAGCACCCACAAACAGUGUGACACAAAUUGUGGCACUUACGCUCGCAGCCAUCAGGGUUCGCUGCCUGGAAGUUGAAAAAACCUUUCUUGCAACGGUCGCAUCGGCGGGACUCGACAUUUUUUUUGCAGUGGCAGCGACCAGCAACAAGCCCCGAUGUUAGGUCAUCCUGUGGGUCGCACACGCCUUCGUCCAAGGAACCGCGGGGGUCACAA